Molecule: ribosomal RNA, 724 nt
Filed under: uncultured bacterium
Lineage: Bacteria
Description: bacterial SSU rRNA
Rfam family: Bacterial small subunit ribosomal RNA
Source: RNAcentral
UGCUUCUCUUGAGAGCGGCGGACGGGUGAGUAAUGCCUAGGAAUCUGCCUAGUGGUGGGGGAUAACGUUCGGAAACGGACGCUAAUACCGCGUACGUCCUACGGGAGAAAGCGGGGGAUCUUCGGACCUCGCGCCAUUAGAUGAGCCUAGGUCGGAUUAGCUAGUUGGUGAGGUAAUGGCUCACCAAGGCGACGAUCCGUAACUGGUCUGAGAGGAUGAUCAGUCACACUGGAACUGAGACACGGUCCAGACUCCUACGGGAGGCAGCGGUGGGGAAUAUUGGACAAUGGGCGAAAGCCUGAUCCAGCCAUGCCGCGUGUGUGAAGAAGGUCUUCGGAUUGUAAAGCACUUUAAGUUGGGAGGAAGGGUAGUAACUUAAUACGUUGCUACUUUGACGUUACCGACAGAAUAAGCACCGGCUAACUUCGUGCCAGCAGCCGCGGUAAUACGAAGGGUGCAAGCGUUAAUCGGAAUUACUGGGCGUAAAGCGCGCGUAGGUGGUUCAGUAAGUUGGAAGUGAAAUCCCCGGGCUCAACCUGGGAACUGCUUUCAAAACUGCUGAGCUAGAGUACGGUAGAGGGUGGUGGAAUUUCCUGUGUAGCGGUGAAAUGCGUAGAUAUAGGAAGGAACACCAGUGGCGAAGGCGACCACCUGGACUGAUACUGACACUGAGGUGCGAAAGCGUGGGGAGCAAACAGGAUUAGAUACCCUGGUAGUCCACGCC